Molecule: long non-coding RNA, 1397 nt
Organism: Pocillopora damicornis (cauliflower coral)
Lineage: Eukaryota; Metazoa; Cnidaria; Anthozoa; Scleractinia; Pocilloporidae
Source: RefSeq, a predicted model, not a curated record
CAGCGCAAGCGCAAAGGAUUGGUACAAGAUAUAACAGAAUUUUCAAACAUGGCGGACAUUAUCUGUUCACUUCAUCCGAGCCACGCGGGAACAGUAAACCAGUGGUUUUAAUUUAUAGACCACUCUAAGGACAACGAAAUUAUCUUCUAUGAGAGUUAUGUAACAAGUGCAAACUGAGGAUGGUUAUAGAUACGGCAAGUAUAUCGCAAGAAGUUUACUAGGCAGCUGUUUGACAUGGAAAAGAAAUUGACUGGCAGUGUGCAUCGGGACUCCUACACUGAUCCUUCCAGCUACCUGGAAUCAGGAGCUCUAGAGCUUACCUUCAUUGACCCUGAAGAAUCCCACCCUGAUGCGAAGAGUACACAAACUGAGAACCCCAAAGAAUCCCAGCCUGAUGUGGAGAACCAGUACAGUAAUGAUCACAAAGAAUCCUCCCUUCAUGACCCCACUCCAGCUGAGACGUUGUCUUCCUUUGCCGUGACCUACGAGAUCGUGGAGAACAGUUCCAAAAGAGGCCGGCCAAAGAUGAUAGACAGCCAGGGGUACCGCUACACCCUACAGAGAAGGCGAGGCUUAGUCACUGCCUGGCAGUGUUCCAUCUGCCCCAAGGUCAACCCAUGUAGGGCCACAGUUAGAUAGCGCGGUGACCAGUUCCAGUGCGUUCACUUUGGACGAUUUCAGGUCGCUAAAAAUGGCUCUUUUAGGAGCCACCACAUGUGCAAAAGUCAUGAUCAAUGUAAACGUACUUUAGUAAUUUAAAUAAGUAUGCAAUAAAGUUUGCUCUUUUUGGCCGCAGGGAAACUGAGUAAUACAACUUGUUCGAUUGAGUCACGGGAAAACUGGGUAUUACAAUGUCAAUUGAUCGAAAAUAUCAAAGACGAAAACUAAAACACUUCAACUGAACUUUUCUCAAUUUUACUUGUAUUGCAACGCCUUCAGUUUGCAUUGAAUCAACUUUACAUGUGUAAUGAAUUGAUUUCUAUUUGUAUCGAAACGACUUUGUAUCGAAAUGACUUUGUAUCAAAAUGACCGGACACCGUAAAUUUUCACAAAUACACCGCAUAAAGAAAAGAAAGGGACCUUUUACAUAACCAAAAGGGAUGGUUGUGUAAAAGAAUGAAAUUUGCAAAACAUAAAUGCCAGGAGGUUUUGCUGACAUAGCAAGCAUUACAGCCCACACAUAAAAACUUGUAAACCACACACUUAUGGAGCCUGUGGGGGAUAGAGUCUUUCACACCAAUCAUAUUAUCUAUUUUAAAAGAUGAAAAACCAACUUAAUAUCAAUGCUGUAACAAUAACACUUAGCAAAGUAGCAAACCCUUUUUUGUGUGAGAGCAGAAAAUGUUACUGAUCUGCAAAAACUUGAGAAGCUCACAAUAAAAAAAACCCUAAUGUGG